RNAcentral lists this ribosomal RNA (482 nucleotides) under uncultured bacterium. RNAcentral describes it as "partial 16S ribosomal RNA". It matches the Rfam family "Bacterial small subunit ribosomal RNA", at positions 30 to 507 of the family's 1533-position model. The record is from RNAcentral.
AUUGAACGCUGGCGGCAUGCUUUACACAUGCAAGUCGAACGGUAACAGGCCGCAAGGUGCUGACGAGUGGCGAACGGGUGAGUAAUGCAUCGGAACGUGCCCAGUCGUGGGGGAUAACUACUCGAAAGAGUAGCUAAUACCGCAUACGAUCUAUGGAUGAAAGCGGGGGACCGUAAGGCCUCGCGCGAUUGGAGCGGCCGAUGUCAGAUUAGGUAGUUGGUGGGGUAAAGGCUCACCAAGCCAACGAUCUGUAGCAGGUCUGAGAGGACAACCAGCCACACUGGGACUGAGACACGGCCCAGACUCCUACGGGAGGCAGCAGUGGGGAAUUUUGGACAAUGGGCGCAAGCCUGAUCCAGCAAUGCCGCGUGCAGGAAGAAGGCCUUCGGGUUGUAAACUGCUUUUGUACGGAACGAAACGGCUCUGGUUAAUACCCGGGGCUAAUGACGGUACCGUAAGAAUAAGCACCGGCUAACUACGUG